Molecule: ribosomal RNA, 241 nt
Filed under: uncultured bacterium
Lineage: Bacteria
Description: partial 16S ribosomal RNA
Rfam family: Bacterial small subunit ribosomal RNA
Source: RNAcentral
GACGAACGCUGGCGGCGUGCUUAACACAUGCAAGUCGAGCGGGUAAGGCCCUUCGGGUACGACGAGCGGCGAACGGGUGAGUAACACGUGGGUGACCUGCCUCUAGCUCUGGGAUAAGCCUGGGAAACGUGGGUCUAAUACCGGAUAUGACUCCACGGCGCAUGUUGUGGGGUGGAAAGCCUUGUGUGCUAGAGAUGGGCCCGCGGCCUAUCAGCUUGUUGGUGGGGUGAUGGCCUACCAA